GAGUUUGAUCCUGGCUCAGGAUGAACGCUAGCGGCAGGCCUAAUACAUGCAAGUCGAGGGGUAGAGGAGAGCUUGCUUUCCUUGAGACCGGCGCACGGGUGCGUAACGCGUAUGCAACCUACCUUUAUCUGGGGGAUAGCCCGAAGAAAUUCGGAUUAACACCGCAUAAAAUCACAGUACGGCAUCGUACAAUGAUCAAAUAUUUAUAGGAUAAAGAUGGGCAUGCGUGUCAUUAGUUAGUUGGCGGGGUAACGGCCCACCAAGACCACGAUGACUAGGGGAUCUGAGAGGAUGACCCCCCACACUGGUACUGAGACACGGACCAGACUCCUACGGGAGGCAGCAGUAAGGAAUAUUGGUCAAUGGAGGCAACUCUGAACCAGCCAUGCCGCGUGCAGGAAGACGGCCCUCUGGGUUGUAAACUGCUUUUAUUCGGGAAUAAACCUACUUACGUGUAAGUAGCUGAAUGUACCGAAGGAAUAAGGAUCGGCUAACUCCGUG
RNAcentral lists this ribosomal RNA (501 nucleotides) under uncultured Pedobacter sp. Its description in RNAcentral is "bacterial SSU rRNA". It matches the Rfam family "Bacterial small subunit ribosomal RNA", at positions 9 to 507 of the family's 1533-position model. Lineage: Bacteria; Pseudomonadati; Bacteroidota; Sphingobacteriia; Sphingobacteriales; Sphingobacteriaceae. The record is from RNAcentral.